AGUGAACGCUGGCGGCAGGCCUAACACAUGCAAGUCGAGCGGCAGCGCGGGGGCAACCCUGGCGGCGAGCGGCGGACGGGUGAGGAAUACAUCGGAAUCUGCCUUGUUGUGGGGGAUAACGUAGGGAAACUUACGCUAAUACCGCAUGAGACCGUAAGGUGAAAGUGGGGGAUCGCAAGACCUCACGCGACAAGAUGAGCCGAUGUCGGAUUAGCUAGUUGGUGAGGUAAAGGCUCACCAAGGCAACGAUCCGUAGCUGGUCUGAGAGGAUGAUCAGCCACACUGGGACUGAGACACGGCCCAGACUCCUACGGGAGGCAGCAGUGGGGAAUAUUGGACAAUGGGCGCAAGCCUGAUCCAGCCAUGCCGCGUGUGUGAAGAAGGCCUUCGGGUUGUAAAGCACUUUUGUUGGGAAAGAAAUCCUGUCGAUUAAUACUCGGCGGGGAUGACGGUACCCAAAGAAUAAGCACCGGCUAACUUCGUG
RNAcentral lists this ribosomal RNA (484 nucleotides) under uncultured bacterium. RNAcentral's name for it is "bacterial SSU rRNA". It matches the Rfam family "Bacterial small subunit ribosomal RNA", at positions 29 to 507 of the family's 1533-position model. The record is from RNAcentral.